This is a long non-coding RNA of Grus americana (Whooping crane), 4929 nucleotides long. RefSeq lists it as uncharacterized. NCBI's taxonomy places the organism in Eukaryota, Metazoa, Chordata, Aves, Gruiformes, Gruidae. The record is from RefSeq and is a predicted model, not a curated record. The transcript is spliced from 3 exons.
GCAAAAAUUGUGGGGUUUGGCCUUUAGCUCAUGCUAUGUAAUUCAGCAUUCAAAGGAUUUUGUUUUUGAAGACUUAGUGCGUAUUGAAAGUUUCUUUUUUUUUUUCAGGAAACAAAACAGAAAUCCUAAAUUAAAUGUCAUGUUUCUCCCGGAGCUUGGAAUUAACAGGAACUGCUGUGAACAACUGUUUUUCCAGAUGUAUUUCACUCUGAGCCAUCAGGCUCUGGUUUCGAGUCUGAUGUAUUCACCAACACAGAACACAGGGCUCUCCUACCUUCUGUACAGUGAUGACAUACGUCCAGCGUAGUUGGCAAUUCAAAUACUACUAAUAGCAGGGACCAUAGUAGCCAGAGACAGGGAAGAGAGAAACUCAUUUAGCCCACCCAGCAGUGAAGACUGAUAAAAGGUGGGUAACUAAGGCAAUUUAUGUGGGCCCAGGUGCAGAGAGGUUGGAGGACAAGCAGCUGGCAAGUGAUAGCUGUGACCACAGCAGUGGUUGUUGGAGUGACUCGUUAAUCGAGGAGGGGAAGACGUUGAAGAGCAGAAUUGUGUGUAUACUGACAAUGUUUCCACUGGUGUUAAAUUCCUUAAUCUGAGCUUUUGAGUUUCAGUUUGUGACUGAUGUGCAGUUAAGCCUCUCUCUGGAAGGGUUAAUUAGCCUGUAUGUCCUAUAAGUAAACCUGGAAUGUGCGGUGAUGCCAGUCGAUUGCAAGGAAUCCUCUUUUUAAAAACUCAUUUUCAGCUGUUAGUAGUAGAAAGAAACGACCUCGUGUAACUGUAGGGGUAAUACCAGUGCUAUCUAUAAUCACCCCAGCCCUGCGUGCAGGAAAUGCAGAGGCUGGCUUUGGUCUCAGCAGGCAUCGUGGCCUGUGGGUGACACCUGGUGGCAGGUUCAUUGCUUGCCUGUACUCGUACGCUUGAAAGCAUGCGUGGAUGCAGGCACAAGCGCUGGAGCCUGGCUCUGGAGGCCGGGGAGAAAGUGCCUGCUUUAUCCCUUUUCUUGCUGGCCGCGGAACGCCCCGACAUUGCCAGUGGCUCCCUUGCCUUGAUCAAAAGGAGGGCUUGAAGGCAAUCCGUCAGCCCUUGAUAAGGAUCUGAAGGAUGUUCUAAAGAUUUCAGCCCGUAGUCAAGCGGUGACAUUCAGGAAACCUGUUGUGCUAGGGUUGUAGAGGGAAACAUGAUGGUGAUAAGGCAGCUUCCUGGCAAUAAAUUCACAGCUGACUUGUUAACAAAUGCAUUUCUUUUGGCAUCUGCUUCCCUUUUUAUUUCUUUUCUUCUUUUUUCUUUUUUUUUCUUCUUUUUUCCAGAAUGCCUGGCUCAAGUGGCUGGGAUCCUGAAGGCAGCACAGUUGCUGUUUCUCAGUAUUGCUUAUAACUGCAGAUCUUAAUCACCUCUCAGGUGUAACGAGAAGAGGAUCACUCCCAUUCAGAGGUAGUCUGUACCCCUCUGCGUCAUGCUGUGUUCAAAGUGUACCUUUUUUUUUCAGGUUCCCCAGUCCUUAUUGAAAAUGCCAAGGAAACAGCCAAAUUAAAUAUAUUAGAAAUUAUAUUUGAGCAGAGAAGCUAGACAUGUCCAGCCCAUCACAUUUUGCAUAGAGUAGAAUGAGAAGUAAGAAACUUCCUGCCUUGCUUUGUGUGGUGAGUUGACCCUGGCUGGAGGCCGGGUGCCCACCAAAGUUGCUCUGUCACCCCCCUUCUCAGCUGGACAAGGGGGAGAAAACGUAACAAGAGGCUUGUGGGUUGAGAUAUAAGGACAGGGAGACAUCACUCACCAAUUACUGUCAUGGGCAAAACAGACUUGACUUGGGGAAAUAAAUUUAUUACCAAUCAAAUCUUAAAUAAAUAAAACCAAAUCUUAAAAACACUUAUACCCACCCCUCCCUUCUUCCCAGGUUUAACUUCACUCCUGAUUUCUCUCCUUCCUCCCCCCGCAGCAGCACAGGGGGACAGGGAAUGGGGGUUGUGGUCAGUUCAUCACACGUUGUUUCUGCUGCUCCUUCCUCCUCAGGGGGAGGACUCCUCACACUCUUCCCCCGCUCCAGCAUGGGGUCCCUCCCAUGGGACACAGUCCUCUACGAAUUUCUCCAAUGUGAGUCUUUCCCACAGGCUGCAGUUCUUCAUGAACUGCUCCAGCGUGGGUCUCUCCCAUGGGGUGCAGUCCUUCAGGGGCAGACUGCUCCAGCGUGGGUCCCCUGCGGGGUCACAAGUCCUGUCAGCAAACCUGCUCUGGCGUGGGCUCCUCUCUCCACGGGGCCACAGGUCCUGCCAGGAGCUUGCUCCAUAGGAUCACAGCCUCCUUUGGGUGCAUCCACCUGCUCUGGCGUGGGGUCUUCCAUGGACUGCAGGUGGAAUCUCUGCUCCACCAUCAACCUCCAUGGGCUGCAGGGGGACAGCCUGCCUCACUGUGGUCUUCUCCAAGAGCUGCAGGGGAAUCUCUGCUCCUGCACCUGGAGCACCUCCUCCCCCUCCUCCUUCACUGACCUGGGUGUCUGCAGGGUUGUUCCUCUCACAUACUCUCACUCCUCUCUCUGGCUACAAUUGCUCCUAGUGUGGGUUUGUUUUGUUUUGUUCCCCUUAAGUCUGUUAUCCCAGAGGCGCUACCCCCAUUGCUGAUGGGCUUGGCCUUGGCCAGCGGCGAGUCCUUCUUAGAGCCGGCUGGCAUUGGCUCUGUCGGACGUAGGGGAAGCUUCUAGCAGCUUCUUACAGAAGCCGCCCUAGUAGCCCCCCCUGCUACCAAAACCUUGCCAUGCAAACUCAAUACACUUUGAUAAACUUAUAGAGAGACCAAAAAUAUAAAAUAUAUUGGGUUUGUUGCCAGUAGUAAUUGCCCUUGCAAGGGCUUUUGAGAGACGUGGAAUAGAACACAUCAGAGGUUUUUGUGAUAGUCUUAUUUGUGUGGAGAGGCAAUGGUUCAAACUGUACUGGCUUCGGUUGUAAAAUUGCAUCCAGAAAGCCACUAACAGUCAUUAGCUGUUAAAGCAGCUGUAGUUGUUUUUCAUAUAGGUAGUUAGCAGCUUGCCAGGCAGGUUUGUGCAGUUAGAAAGGAGAGGGGGAACGGCAUGCAGCCUGACCAAUCCUCCACUCUGCUCUUUGGUCUGGUUGGCCCCCGCUCCGGCAGAGGCAGGCGUCUGCUGGAAGGAGCAAAGGACGUGUAAUUUGUGCACACCUGCCUCUUCUCUGCACUUUGAGAGCAUGCUUGCAAGGGGAAUAACAUCAUGGUGGUACGUGGUGCCAUAAAUCACUCAUUUUAAAACCAGUAAAAGCCAAAGCUUCUUAUCUAGAUGAGGUUGUGGUGCCUUGACGGCAUUUUCCCAUGUGAGGCUACUGAGAGAAAGGAAAUGGUGAUUUUUAAUAACUUAACUGUGAUUUAACAAAACGAGAGAGAAGCUCAUCUUCUGUCUCAGAGCUUUCUCCCUCCUGAACUGUUGAAGUCUGCCACAAGCCUCAUGGCUUGUGUUCAAGAACCUCAAAAGAGGAAAAAGAGUAGUUACUGUCCCUAAUAAUGGGCAGGAGCAGCUUUCAGGCAAGGAAUGAGUGAGUGGGCUAGGGCUCCGCCACCAGGAGAGCUGGCAGCAGGGAAUAGUAACUCCCCGCUUCCUCCACUGUAAAAAUUGGGGAACUGAGUAAAACUUGCAGGUGGCAGGUAGAAAACAACGAGGAGAUGCUUCUCUCCACUUAGUUAAAGUGUCAGGGAAGAGUUUUCAAUCUUUGUAUUUUUCCUUUUCAUUUAUCUUCUACGCUUUUGCCACUCAUUUUCUUUGCCUCUCAUGUCUAGUCAGAUCGCAGUAUCUCAGCUCUCUGGACAGGGAUUUUCAGUCUUCAGCUACAUUGUGACUUGUUUGAGGAGACCUAGGUACUCUACAUCCUUUCAACUACACAAACAAAUGGAGGUGGAGGGGGAAAUGGCUCCUGUGGUAAAAUUAAUAAUAGAUAAUUGGCCUAUUUAUGAUAGCUGUCUUUUGCAUGUUGGCAUUUCCAGCGUCUUCCUCUCUCUCAUGUUACUUCUCAAAGAUGAUGGGCUAUGACCAGAUCUUCUCUUGUCAUAUGCAAAGCUUUAAUCUCCUGUGAAGAAGCAUGUCCUGUGGCCAGUGCAGAUCCCAUCAUGGCAUGAAUCUGCUCUUGGUAUCACAACUGAGGCACCAGGAAUUCUCUUCAGUGAAAUGCCAGUGAAAUUAAGGAGCAGUGAACGUACAGCUAUCGCAGCCCAUUGGUACCAAAAAGGCUAUUUGAGAUCCCUCUCAAUUGUCACUGGAUCAUCUAGGUAACAUGGACUGACAGUGACCAAACUACGAGCUCUCUGUACUGGCCUGUUGCAAAGGGAGAUAGUGGUGUACGCAUCUUCGUCGGCUACAGUUUUGGCAAAAACUGCAAAAUGUAUGCACCCUUUACGCCUCAGCUUGAGGGGUUCUAAGGACUGAAUUUACCUGUUGCACCUUAGCCACUGACUACUAAGGUAAUGUAAAGGAAUGUCAAGUUGAAACACUUCACCAACCUGCCUUGUUGAUGCCUGACGUCGUUGUUUAGUACUUUGUGUGUGCUAGACUUACACCUCUGUAAAAGGUUUGUCUGUAAUAGGAUAAAAUAAACUGGAAUCCCUCUAAGGUAAGGGCAUAUUUAAUUUGGGAUUAUAUGCCAUGGGCAAAACUGUCAUGACUUGAGGGAUUUUUACGUGACUGAAUAAACUGUCGAUUAACACAAAUUUUUAAUUGCUGAUUGGAGGGUUGAGAAGAAAGAAAACAAACAAAAAACCCCACUUAGGGAAACCCCAUUCCUCUCCCUUCCCCAAAGUCAACUUCAGCCAAACACCUUCCUGGUCUCCCCUUCCCUUGCUUUUGCCAUGUGUUACCCUCAGCCCCUCAGAGGUGUCCCUGCCCUGGCGGGGGUGGCCAGCGAGCCACGGUCCCUCAGGGAUGUCUCUACCCCCGUGUGG